This 1291-nucleotide ribosomal RNA is filed under the name metagenome. Its description in RNAcentral is "bacterial SSU rRNA". It matches the Rfam family "Bacterial small subunit ribosomal RNA", at positions 8 to 1331 of the family's 1533-position model. The record is from RNAcentral.
AGAGUUUGAUCCUGGCUCAGGAUGAACGCUGGCGGCGUGCUUAAUACAUGCAAGUCGAACGGAGGAUUUUGUAGUAAUACGAAGUUCUCAGUGGCGAACGGGCGAGUAACGAGUUGGUGACCUGCCCCGAAGUGUGGAAUAACAGUCCGAAAGGAUUGCUAAUACCGCAUGUGAUCACGGGAUUUAGAAACCUGUGAUUAAAGCAGUAAUGCGCUUCGGGAGGGACCUGCUUCCCAUCAGCUAGUUGGUGAGGUAAUGGCCCACCAAGGCUACGACGGGUAAGGGACCUGAGAGGGUGGUCCCUCGCAAUGGCACUGAAACACGGGCCAUACACCUACGGGUGGCAGCAGUAGGGAAUAUUGGGCAAUGGGCGAAAGCCUGACCCAGCAACGCCGCGUGCACGAUGAAGGCCUUCGGGUCGUAAAGUGCUUUUCUGAGGGAUGAGUAAGGACAGUACCUCAGGAAUAAGCCUCGGCUAACUACGUGCCAGCAGCCGCGGUAAAACGAAGGAGGCGAGCGUUAUCCGGAUUUACUGGGCGUAAAGCGUGUGUAGGCGGUUCGGCAAGUUGGAUGUGAAAGCUCCUGGCUUAACUAGGAGAGGUCGUUCAAUACUACCGAACUUGAGGGUAGGAAGGUGGAAUUCCCGGUGUAGUGGUGAAAUGCGUAGAUAUCGGGAGGAACACCAGUGGCGAAAGCGGCCUUCUGGGAUAUUCCUGACGCUCAGACACGAAAGCUAGGGUAGCAAACGGGAUUAGAGACCCCGGUAGUCCUAGCAGUAAACGAUGUAGACUUGGUGUCGGAGGUGUCAAAACCUUCGGUAUCGUAGCUAACGCGAUAAGUCUACCGCCUGGGGACUACGGCCGCAAGGUUAAAACUCAAAGGAAUUGACGGGGGCCCGCACAAGCAGCGGAGCGUGUGGUUUAAUUCGAUUCUACACGAAGAACCUUACCCAGGUUUGACAUGUUGGUGGUAGGGAUCCGAAAGGUGACCGACCCGCAAGGGAGCCUUCACAGGUGCUGCAUGGCUGUCGUCAGCUCGUGUCGUGAGAUGUUCGGUUAAGUCCGCUAACGAGCGCAACCCUCGCCGUAUGUUACAAGUGUCAUGCGGGACCGCCGGUAUCAAGCCGGAGGAAGGUGGGGAUGACGUCAAGUCAGCAUGGCCUUUAUGUCUGGGGCUACACACACGCUACAAUGGCCGGUACAAUGGGUUGCUAAGCCGCGAGGUAGAGCCAAUCCCCAAAGCCGGUCUCAGUUCAGAUCACAGGCUGCAACCUGCCUGUGUGAAGUUGGAG